GACGAACGCUGGCGGCGUGCUUAACACAUGCAAGUCGAACGGAAAGGCCCUGCUUUUGUGGGGUGCUCGAGUGGCGAACGGGUGAGUAACACGUGAGUAACCUGCCCUUGACUUUGGGAUAACUUCAGGAAACUGGGGCUAAUACCGGAUAGGAGCUCCUGCUGCAUGGUGGGGGUUGGAAAGUUUCGGCGGUUGGGGAUGGACUCGCGGCUUAUCAGCUUGUUGGUGGGGUAGUGGCUUACCAAGGCUUUGACGGGUAGCCGGCCUGAGAGGGUGACCGGCCACAUUGGGACUGAGAUACGGCCCAGACUCCUACGGGAGGCAGCAGUGGGGAAUAUUGCACAAUGGGCGGAAGCCUGAUGUAGCAACGCCGCGUGCGGGAUGACGGCCUUCGGGUUGUAAACCGCUUUCGCCUGUGACGAAGCGUGAGUGACGGUAAUGGGUAAAGAAGCACCGGCUAACUACGUGCCAGCAGCCGCGGUGAUACGUAGGGUGCGAGCGUUGUCCGGAUUUAUUGGGCGUAAAGGGCUCGUAGGUGGUUGAUCGCGUCGGAAGUGUAAUCUUGGGGCUUAACCCUGAGCGUGCUUUCGAUACGGGUUGACUUGAGGAAGGUAGGGGAGAAUGGAAUUCCUGGUGGAGCGGUGGAAUGCGCAGAUAUCAGGAGGAACACCAGUGGCGAAGGCGGUUCUCUGGGCCUUUCCUGACGCUGAGGAGCGAAAGCGUGGGGAGCGAACAGGCUUAGAUACCCUGGUAGUCCACGCUGUAAACGGUGGGUACUAGGUGUGGGGUCCAUUCCACGGGUUCCGUGCCGUAGCUAACGCUUUAAGUACCCCGCCUGGGGAGUACGGCCGCAAGGCUAAAACUCAAAGGAAUUGACGGGGCCCCGCACAAGCGGCGGAGCAUGCGGAUUAAUUCGAUGCAACGCGUAGAACCUUACCUGGGUUUGACAUGGAUCGGGAGCGCUCAGAGAUGGGUGUGCCUCUUUUGGGGUCGGUUCACAGGUGGUGCAUGGCUGUCGUCAGCUCGUGUCGUGAGAUGUUGGGUUAAGUCCCGCAACGAGCGCAACCCUUGUUCACUGUUGCCAGCACGUUAUGGUGGGGACUCAGUGGAGACCGCCGGGGUCAACUCGGAGGAAGGUGGGGAUGACGUCAAGUCACCAUGCCCCUUAUGUCCAGGGCUUCACGCAUGCUACAAUGGCUGGUACAGAGAGUGGCGAGCCUGUGAGGGUGAGCGAAUCUCGGAAAGCCGGUCUCAGUUCGGAUUGGGGUCUGCAACUCGACCUCAUGAAGUCGGAGUCGCUAGUAAUCGCAGAUCAGCAACGCUGCGGUGAAUACGUUCCCGGGGCU
RNAcentral lists this ribosomal RNA (1346 nucleotides) under uncultured bacterium. RNAcentral's name for it is "bacterial SSU rRNA". It matches the Rfam family "Bacterial small subunit ribosomal RNA", at positions 28 to 1381 of the family's 1533-position model. The record is from RNAcentral.